RNAcentral lists this ribosomal RNA (253 nucleotides) under uncultured bacterium. RNAcentral's name for it is "partial 16S ribosomal RNA". It matches the Rfam family "Bacterial small subunit ribosomal RNA", at positions 524 to 776 of the family's 1533-position model. The record is from RNAcentral.
UACGUAGGGGGCAAGCGUUGUCCGGAUUUAUUGGGUUUAAAGGGUGCGUAGGCGGUGUCCUAAGUCAGUUGUGAAAUCCGGCAGCUUAACUGUCGAGGUGCAAUUGAUACUGGGAUACUUGAGUACUGAUGAGGUAUGCGGAAUGGACGGUGUAGCGGUGAAAUGCUUAGAUAUGACAUAGAACACCUAUUGCGAAGGCAGCUUACUACGCAGAUAUUGACGCUCAUGCACGAAAGCGUGGGGAUCAAACAGG